AUGUACGCGGCCCUCAGUGGGGCGCAAUGGGUAGUCGGCAAGGCGCUAGCCCCCGUUGCGGACGGGGUGCUGGAGGCUUGGGCGGCCACCAGGAACUUUGGUUUCAACAUAGAGGCCCUCAGCAUGGAACUGAUGCUGGUGAAGGCCACGCUCGAACAAGCUGGACGCAAGGAGCUCGGCGGGCCGGCCAUGGAGAUGUUGUUGCACAAGCUGCGUGACUCGGCGCAAAAUGCUGAAGACUUGUUAGAUGAGCUCGACUACUUCCGCAUCCACGAUGAGCUCCACGGCACCCACGAUGCUGCAGGCGAGCACGACAAGGGUUGCUUCCACAACCUUGCCUUCAAUGCUCGCCACACCGCCAAAGCUUUUGGCAAACUGGUCAACUGUGCUAAGCCUCGGCAGAGGUCACACAGCGACUCCUCGGCCCCAGACACCAAUCAGGAGCUUAGCGGAUGCAUGCCCAAGAUCGGUAAACUCCUCACUUGCUCGUCUUCCCCGCAUCCACAUGUUCGUGAUGAUGAUCGUGGCAGUGUGCAAGAAACACCAAAGCUUGAGUUUAAUAGGGUUUAUUUCUCUCAAAGGAUGAAGGACAUUGUAGAGAAAUUGCAACUUAUGCGCAAUGAGGUUAGCAAGAUUCUGAUACAUUGUGGCCCUAGAACUGUCCCAGACAUUGCCCUGAGCCGUCCUAUCACCAAAAGUAGAAUUGAUGAGCCAAAACUGUAUGGGAGGGACCAUGUCAUGAAUAGCAUCAUACAUGAUAUCACCGAGGGUCAAUACUAUGACAAGGGUCUAACUGUGCUGCCGGUUGUGGGUCCAGGGGGUAUGGGCAAGACAACUCUUAUAAAACACAUAUAUCGCAACCAGCAAGUGCAGAAUCAUUUUUCAGUCAUGAUUUGGAUAUGUGUAUCGCUCAAUUUCAAUCUAGAUAAGGUGCUAGAACAGAUUAAAACAUGUACACCUCAAGUUGGAAUGGAAAAGGAGGGUAGUACAACAGAAGAUUUGAUUGAACAAAGAUUAAAAUAUAAAAGGUUCUUACUUGUAUUGGAUGAUAUAUGGCGGAUUAGUAAUGGUGAUGACUGGAAAAAAUUAUUGUCGACACUCAAUCAAUCAGAAGAAAGGGGGUGCAUGAUUCUAGUCACAACUCGGUUUCAAGCAAUAGCACAAAAGGUUAAAACAACUGGCCAAUCAAUAGAACUGAAUGGUUUAGAAUAUGAAGAGUUUAGGAAGUUAUUUCUUGCAUUUGUCUUUGGCGAUGAAGAAUGUGCAAGGGAUAAACAUUUCUUACUUGAGACAGGAGAUAAGAUAAUGGAAAAGCUAAAGGGCUCCCCUCUUGCAGCAAAAACUGUUGGUAGAUUACUGAGUAAAGAACUUAGUUUGCGUCAUUGGAAAAGGGUCCUAAAAAGUAAGGAAUGGGAGAAGCAAACUGAUGACAAUGAAAUUAUGCCUGCCUUGAAGCUUAGCUAUGACUUUCUCCCUUUUUAUUUGAAACAAUGCUUUUCCUAUUCUGCAUUGUUUCCUGAAGAUUAUCGUUUCAGAAGCCACGAGCUCAUCAACCUGUGGAUCGGACUAGAUAUUUUGAUACCCGGUGGCCAAAACCAAGUUGUUCAAGAUAUAGGUUUGAGUAAUUUAAAUGAGCUAGUUAUCCAUGGAUUUUUCAGAGAAGAGGAAACCAGUGAUGGUCUGCACUAUGUUAUGCAUGACCUAUUGCAUGAUUUGGCAUUGAAGGUUGCAUCGCAUGAUUGUCUUAGUUUACAUUUCUCUGAUGUUGGGUCAGUAGAUAUUCAGCCAUCCACCCACCACUUGUCCAUACGCACAGAGAACUUGGUGUCUUCUCAAAACAUUAAGAGUGAAUUGGAAAAAUUGAAGACAUCAUUGAAGGUUGAACAUUUGCAAACAUUGAUGUUAUUUGGAGAAAUGGAUAAAGGUUUUGCCAAGAUAUUUGGUGAUAUUUGGGGGGAAGCAAAUGCUCUUCGUGUUCUUUAUUUGCCUGACAUGACAUAUCACGUGGAAUCCAUGUUACAUAACUUUUCAGGACUUGUCCACCUACGAUUCCUAUGUCUAGGGACAAAUGAGUGGCAGAUGCAUUUACCACUUAGCAUCCUUAAAUUUUAUCACUUAAGGGUUCUAGAUCUUAAGUCAUGGCAUGGCAGUUGUGAUUUUCCUGAAGACAUGAGCAACCUUGCAAAAUUGUGCCAUUAUUAUACCCCAAGAGAUGCGGAUCUUCAUUCUGAUAUUUAUAAUGUGGGAAAACUUAAACUCUUGGAAGAGUUGAAGGUAUUUCAGGUCAAUAAAAAGAGUGAAGUAUUUGAACUAAAGCAACUAGAGCAUUUGACCAAGCUAAGGGAGCUUGGCAUCUACAACCUGGAGAAAGUGCAUACAAAAGACGAAGCAGCUCAAGCAAAACUGAUAGAGAAAAACUACUUGAGGAAGUUAACAUUGGACUGGGAUAGUGAUCGAUCUACUGUUGAGCCUGGUGUGGAAGCAAUGGUUCUUGAGAACCUUCGACCGCAUGGAGAUCUUCAAAUGUUGUGCAUUAGAGGGCAUGGAGACCCUUCUUGCCCAACAUGGCUAGGUGAUGAGCUCGUUGUUGAUGCUCUACAAUCUCUUAGUCUUUAUUGUGUUUCUUGGGGAGUUUUCCCUUCUUUAGGGAAGGCAUGGGAUCUUCGUCAACUAAGAUUGGAGCAUAUUUACAAGCCGAAGGAGUUUACUAUAGAGAAAAACUUUUGCAUGCUAAUAAAGCUUGAACUAAUUGGCCUAGGAAGUUUUGAAAAAUGGGUUUACCCGGCUGAACAAGAGUCUUCCGUUAGUGGAGACUUGUUGCCACCGGAUGCUCAUAUGUUCCCUCUUUUGCAAGUUCUGAUUAUUCGGGAGUGCCCGAAACUAUUGGGGUUGCCUUUCUUAGAACACAUUGUUUCCCCAGAUUGGUUCCCCAAGCUACAAGAGCUUGAGGUAUGUGACUGUCCCGAAUUCUUGCCAGUGAUUCCCAUCUCCUGGAUGGAAAGUCUUUGUUUUGUCAAGAUGAAAUGUAUAAAGAUGCUAAAGGAGUUUGGGUACUCAAAAUCAUCCAAUGGAGCAGAAUUGGAAAUUAUCGGAGAGGGUGAUCUGCAUAGCAUCGACCAAGUGUUAGUUUUUGAUAAAGAAACUAGUCUUGGGAAGCUGAAACUCGAGAGGUGCCCACCUCUGGAGUUGAAGCACCUCUUGAUGCUAACCUCGCUAAAGACAUUCAUUGUAAGAAAAUCAGAUGGUUUGGUUGGACCCAGAGGUCAGGGUGAUGUGGAAUGGAAGCUCCCUGUUGAGUAUAUAAAGAUCAACGACUUACAUGGUAAUACUGGCGAGGAACUGACAGAACUCCUCCCCCACCUCCCAAAGCUCUCCAAAUUGGAAAUAUUUGAGUGUGAAAACAUAAAAAAGCUGGUAGUGGGGGUGGAUGUGCAACCAACAACACAAGAAACAUCAGAGAUGGGGGGAGGUGAAAUAACAGCAGCAGCAGCAGCAGCAGAGGAAGAGGAUGACGGGGUGCUGCUCUUCCCAGCUCAUCUCUGUGACUCACUAAGGGAAUUGGUGUUCUAUGACUGCCCAGAGCUGGUCCUGGUGGACCCGCCAACUCUUGUUCCUGGAGAAGGAGGGUUCCAAGCUUUGCGAUCCCUCCAGAGAUUAACAAUAUUGCGGGCCCCAAAGUUGCUAUCCACCUUCUCCUUUUCCCGACACCUUUUUCCUUCCUCCCUGCAGUUCCUGAGCCUUGUAGGUGUGGAAGGCAUGGAGACACUCGAGCCCCUCUCAAACCUCUCCUCUCUCACCAGAUUAGAAUUAAUUCGUUGUGGAAAGGAUCUGAAAUGUCAGGGCUUGUGGUCUCUCCUUACCACCGGGGGCCAGCUCAACAAAUUAAGAGUCACUGGUAGCCAUAGAUUCUUUGCUGAUUGGGAUCCCAAUCCCAGACGGGCUUUGGAGGAUGCUGAGGGAGGUGAAGAGUGGCAGACACAGCUUGUUUCAUCCACACUGCGUGAGCUCUGGACAGAUGACAUAGCAGGACUUCUUGCUGCACCCGUCUGCACAUUCCUCUCUUCCUCCCUCACCAAGCUGCAACUUUGGGGGGAUUUGUGUGAAGGGAUGGAGCUGUUCAGCAAGGAGCAAGAGGACGCCCUUCAACUCCUCUCCUCCCUCCAGAAACUAGAGUUUUGGAGUUUCAAGGACCUUCAACAACUCCCUGCAGGGCUGCGUAAACUUACCAGCCUCAAGAUAUUAUUAGUCAACUGCUGUCCAGCCAUCUCGUCGUUGCCCAACGAUGCCCUCCCGGAUUCACUGGAAAUGCUAGAUGUCUACAACUGCAGCGAAGAGCUAAAACAGCAGUGCAGGGGGUUGGAGGGAACCAUCCCAGAUAUCAUAAUAAUAUGAUCCAAGGACAAUGCCUUGGAGUUCCAUGUACAUUCUUCUAGCCUUGUAGAGCUCUUCCCUUCCCAUUCAAACACAUGCAUGACACAAGGGCUGUGGUCUUCCUUUUCCUGUACUUAAAUCUGGUGUUUGUUCGAUCUUAUAGGCUUCUUCAUAUCUUGCAUUUAAAUUUGGGUUAUUGUUAUUCAUCAAGACGUGGCAGUCUGCUCCCCUAUUUUGGGUGUCACGAUCAAAUCAGCAGUAGGACAUCAGUAUGGAACAAUUGAGACUUCGGGUCAAGCUACUGAUAUUAAAGUGUUCUUAUGUUUGUUUGGUGGGCUUUCAAGCCACUUAUGUUUACAUUUUGUCCAAAACUCAUGAAGACUGAAGGUAUGCCUGGAAAAUCUUCAGUUUUAGGGACCAAGGAUCAUUUGGCAUAGUUAUGGAAAACAAUGACUUGUCAGUGUUUUGCUGCUGAUCAUGUUUGCAGUUUUGCCAUCCAGUGGCGUAUAGGAUCAUAGGCAAUACCGCAGUAGUAGCAGUCUCAAGGCAAAUAGUGAAUCAGGAUGUCGAUUAAUGCCGGGAAUUUACUUGGUGCCCUGCCCCCAACUAUUUACAUGUGAAACCUGCCUAUCUAGUGAUGAUCAAUCUCCUCGGAAGCAACAGAUUGAGUUGAGGGAAAGGUGUGGUUGACUGAGGCAGUCUUCUUCCACUGCAAUAGCCACACACGAAUGGUGCUGGUCGGUGGAUGCAGUUUUAGCUACUUUCAACUGUUCCUCGUGACAUCCUUGAUACCUUGCCCCUCAUUCUAUUCUUCCUCGGACGUGUACCAACCAAAUCCCUCUAAGCGCACACUGGUCACCCAAGAAUUGCUGCAGCCGUUGCCAAUAGCAUCCCCUAAGGCACAUUGUGAAGUUGUUGUUGCAGAAAGAUUUUUCGAGGGUCAGACAAACAAGCCAUAAGUGAAUGGCUUAUUAUUAUUUCCAGAAGAUGCAGCUUAUUAUGGAAAACUUGCACUGCAAAGAGUCAGCCGCCAAGGAGGGUGAAAUUGCUAAGGCACAAGGAAUAUUCCGUGGAAUAUAUGAAGCCAUGCUAAGGAAGAAGCAGCAAAAUCGCAGCCCAUGCUAAGUGGAAUAUAUGAAGCCAUGCUAAGUGGCUCUCCACGAUGCUGACAUUGGCAUAUAGCACUUCUUGGCUCGCUGUUGAGAGGAAUGUCAUGAAGAAUCUCAGGUUGCAGUCACGAGGCCAUACCAAGAUACAGUUUCCUUAGUCGGCGCCAGGGAAGGUGGUGAAUUAAGUUGCAACAAGUCUGCGGAGUAAGAGUUAUGCAGAUAGAGAUGCAAUAUGCUUGCUGGAUCCAUGCUAAGGAAGCGGAUACAUUGGCUAGGCUAAGCAGGAGCAUAGUCUGCAGCUAUUUGGCAAAUGGUGCUCUGCUCAUCUCCCCUGCUUCUCAAGCAUACAAACCCGAUGGAUAUGCUUGCUUGCUUGCUUAUUCGGAGUAGUAUCUGCUGGAAGCUUGUCUGUCGCUGCCUUUGUUGAUUGUUGCUGCAGUUCUAUGGAUUUGAACAUCUGCCAAAGCUCGUGCUCAUGUUUUCUUUGAUUUCCCCGGCCGUUUUUUUCCUUAUUAUGAACUGUUGUUCUGCAUCACAAAACAGAGCUUAAAUAAUUUCGACGAUGCAAUGGCUGGCUAGAGAUUUAUUUAUUUAGUUAUUUGCAUUCGGAGAAAUUUGAUCUUUUAUGAGAUGCAGGAAAUUUAUAGCUGUUCAGAGCUCUUUCUUUCUUUCUUUCUUUGCAUUCAAACACCACAUCUCAAUGUGACACAUGCCCCGCACAAGGAAAAAACACACGCAAACUAUUCUGACCGUGACUGGCAUGCAGAUGCAGAACAAGGCCAAUUACUUGCACAUCUCCUUGUCAGGAGAACAACCAGGCUGGCUGCAUCAUCUUGUCAAGAAAUUGACACUUGUUAUGUUGUUAACUGAAGAAAUCGACACCCAGCGUUUAUCGUGACAUGACACCACCCUUGACCGUGCAUCCAACAACUCUGAAUUCACCAAAGUAAGGCAGUGAAGUUCCCCAGAAUGUCAUCAUCACCAGAUAGGAGAGCAGAGGAGAGGAGCACCAUUUAAUUACUGCACUUGGAGCCAUCUAUCAGCUCAGGAUGCUCUUCAAAUGAUGAGCUGAUUCUUGGCCAUCGACUGUAGGAUCUUGUGUCCGAUACUACUACUUGGUAGCACAAUCUCUGGAGGGAAGAUGACCAAGGUGGUAGUGGUGUAUGGACUGGGCGCAGAGCAGAACCAUCCAAUUCCAAUCCAAUUUCGCCAUCAGGCCUUCAUCAUGCAGUCGGCGAACCUGUGAAAUUUUCUCUUUUGAAGUGCACAUUCAUUCAUAAAAGAGGCAAGGAGAAG
RNAcentral lists this ribosomal RNA (6776 nucleotides) under Triticum aestivum (bread wheat). RNAcentral describes it as "partial small subunit ribosomal RNA". Lineage: Eukaryota; Viridiplantae; Streptophyta; Magnoliopsida; Poales; Poaceae. The record is from RNAcentral.